AUGCAGCGCCUUCCGCCGGCUGUGCCUGUGCCUUUCACAGAGGCGGGUGCUCCUGCUCAGGCAGCCCCAGUGCACUGCGCACGCGUGCCAGUGACGGACGUGAUGGAAGGCCAAGUCCUCCACGGGGCCACACACCUUUCCCCUCUGCAGCGUGAGGACCCCGAUGCCCAGCCCGGCACAUGCUCCCCUCUGGUUUUGCAAACAGAGUUUCAGGUGUCACCAGGGGGCCCAGGAAGGCUCCAUCUCCCAGCUGCUGGCUCCAAGCCAGCUGUGGCCACUGGUUGCCUGCCUACGAUGUCUGCACAAAUACUGUGUGGGAGCAGUGGGAUGUCUCCUUCAGGAGAGAGGCCCCAAGCUUCAGACAUGAGGGCUGGAGCUCCAGCAGCCAUCCUGGACCUUGAGGGUAAGGGUCAGGGGAGCAGAGAGCUGAAGAAGGCUUGUUGUCUAAGGACAUCCAAGCCACGCAGCUCCCCGGGCCCCGGUUACUGUGGCUGCCUUCAUCGGGAGCCGGGGGUGUGUGGCUUCCAUCUCAUUUCAGCUACACCACUUGGGAAGUUCCUGGAUGCUUUUUCUCACAGACACAUCCUCUGUGAACAUUCGGCCACUUGGCAGGGGACAGACUGGCCUCCCAAAGGCAGAGCACCUGUCACCCUGGAAAAGGUGCGUGAAGACGGCGCUGGAGCCUGCCUCCUGCCCCCAACUCCAGCCAGAGGGCGACCAAAGUGUCGGGCAAAAGCCUUCACACUCGGGGGACACACGGCUCCCUCCACCCGCAUCCCCCAGCGCGGAGAACAGCUCCCACUUCCCAUAGGCCUCGCUGCUGACCCUCAUAGCUGGCCUUGGCACUCCCAGAAACAGGCGAGGCGUGGAAGCUCCCAGAAUGGAAGCUCCUGGCCCCAGGGCCCUCAGCUAGGAAGUCAGGGACCUGGCACUCAAACCCGGUCUGUGCCAGUGCCAGCUGGGGCCCAUCCACACACACACCCACCCCCGGGGCACCUCAGCCCCCCACCCCCAUCCCCACCCCCACGUCCCAGCAGAGCCCAGCAGGGAGGCAGGGUGUCGGCUCCGAGUCUCCCUCUAGCCCGAGGCAGCCCCACUGAGAUCCAGCCUCGGGGCAGGUCUGCGUAA
RNAcentral lists this long non-coding RNA (1128 nucleotides) under Oryctolagus cuniculus (rabbit). RNAcentral describes it as "lncRNA (ENSOCUG00000036634.1)". Lineage: Eukaryota; Metazoa; Chordata; Mammalia; Lagomorpha; Leporidae. The record is from RNAcentral.